GACGAACGCUGGCGGCAUGCUUAACACAUGCAAGUCGAACGCUGAAGCCCUGGCUUUUGUUGGGUUGGAUGAGUGGCGAACGGGUGAGUAACACGUGAGUAACCUGCCCUCUUCUUUGGGAUAACGCCCGGAAACGGGUGCUAAUACUGGAUAUUCACUGGCCUUCGCAUGGGGGUUGGUGGGAAGGUUUGUUCUGGUGGGGGAUGGGCUCGCGGCCUAUCAGCUUGUUGGUGGGGUGAUGGCCUACCAAGGCUUUGACGGGUAGCCGGCCUGAGAGGGUGACCGGUCACAUUGGGACUGGGAUACGGCCCAGACUCCUACGGGAGGCAGCAGUGGGGAAUAUUGCACAAUGGGCGAAAGCCUGAUGCAGCGACGCCGCGUGAGGGAUGGAGGCCUUCGGGUUGUAAACCUCUUUCGCUCAUGGUCAAGCCGCAACUGUGGGUUGUGGUGAGGGUAGUGGGUAAAGAAGCGCCGGCUAACUACGUG
Molecule: ribosomal RNA, 486 nt
Filed under: uncultured bacterium
Lineage: Bacteria
Description: partial 16S ribosomal RNA
Rfam family: Bacterial small subunit ribosomal RNA
Source: RNAcentral